RNAcentral lists this transfer RNA (77 nucleotides) under Lentisphaerae bacterium RIFOXYA12_FULL_48_11. RNAcentral's name for it is "tRNA-Arg". It matches the Rfam family "tRNA". Rfam says of the family: Transfer RNA (tRNA) molecules are approximately 80 nucleotides in length. The record is from RNAcentral. Lineage: Bacteria; Pseudomonadati; Lentisphaerota.
GCACCCGUAGCUCAAUUGGACAGAGCAUCUGACUUCGGAUCAGAGGGUUGGGGGUUCAAAUCCCUCCGGGUGUACCA